ACUCAAAUGAAUUGACGGGGGCCCGCACAAGCAGCGGAGCGUGUGGUUUAAUUCGACGCAACGCGAAGAACCUUACCCAGGUUUGACAUGCAUCUGCAAGCCGGUGAAAGCCGGUCGCCUUCGAGGGUGAUGCACAGGUGCUGCAUGGUUGUCGUCAGCUCGUGUCGUGAGAUGUUGGGUUAAGUCCCGCAACGAGCGCAACCCCUAUCGCCAGUUACUUGUGUCUGGCGAGACUGCCGGCUUUCGGCCGGAGGAAGGCGGGGAUGACGUCAAAUCCGCAUGGCCCUUACACCUGGGGCGACACACACGCUACAAUGGCCGGGACAGCGCGUCGCGAAGCCGCAAGGUGGAGCCAAUCGCCCAAACCCGGUCCCAGUUCAGAUCGAGGGCUGCAACUCGCCCUCGUGAAGGUGGAGUUGCUAGUAACCGCGUAUCAGCCAUGGCGCGGUGAAUACGUUCCCGGGCCUUGUACACACCGCCCGU
This 483-nucleotide ribosomal RNA is filed under the name uncultured bacterium. Its description in RNAcentral is "partial 16S ribosomal RNA". It matches the Rfam family "Bacterial small subunit ribosomal RNA", at positions 899 to 1397 of the family's 1533-position model. The record is from RNAcentral.